RNAcentral lists this ribosomal RNA (393 nucleotides) under uncultured bacterium. Its description in RNAcentral is "bacterial SSU rRNA". It matches the Rfam family "Bacterial small subunit ribosomal RNA", at positions 505 to 898 of the family's 1533-position model. The record is from RNAcentral.
GUGUCAGCAGCCGCGGUAAUACGAAGGGGGCUAGCGUUGUUCGGAAUUACUGGGCGUAAAGCGCACGCAGGCGGUUCGAUCAGUCAGAAGUGAAAGCCCCGGGCUCAACCUGGGAACUGCUUUUGAUACUGUCGAGCUUGAAUCACGGAGAGGGUAGUGGAAUUCCGAGUGUAGAGGUGAAAUUCGUAGAUAUUCGGAAGAACACCAGUGGCGAAGGCGACUACCUGGCCGUCGAUUGACGCUCAUGUGCGAAAGCGUGGGGAGCAAACAGGAUUAGAUACCCUGGUAGUCCACGCCGUAAACGAUGGGUGCUAGUUGUUGGGGUACAUGUACCUCAGUGACGCAGCUAACGCGUUAAGCACCCCGCCUGGGGAGUACGGCCGCAAGGUUAAA